RNAcentral lists this ribosomal RNA (253 nucleotides) under uncultured bacterium. Its description in RNAcentral is "partial 16S ribosomal RNA". It matches the Rfam family "Bacterial small subunit ribosomal RNA", at positions 524 to 776 of the family's 1533-position model. The record is from RNAcentral.
UACAGAGGGUGCAAGCGUUAAUCGGAAUUACUGGGCGUAAAGCGUGCGCAGGCGGUUUUAUAAGCCAGAUGUGAAAUCCCCGGGCUUAACCUGGGAAUGGCAUUUGGGACUGUAAGGCUAGAGUACGGCAGAGGAGACUAGAAUUCCUGGUGUAGCAGUGAAAUGCGUAGAUAUCAGGAGGAAUACCGAUGGCGAAGGCAGGUCUCUGGGUCGAUACUGACGCUCAUGCACGAAAGCGUGGGGAGCAAACAGG